AGAUGACUCGCUUCACGUCGCCGAUUCGAAUGCACGUCAGUCAACUGUCACCAACCGUCUUCAAGUACAAGAAAUCAUUUUGAUCGCCGGUCGGACAGCAAACUACCUGUUGGCAGGUUGACAUAAGAAAAUGGGCAAAACAUGGGUUCUAGUGGAAUGCAGGGAGGAGCCACCGACAUGACAUUGUUCCUAAAAAGAACCUUCUGAAAAAUAACUUUGAACCUGGAGUUGUUGUGGAUGUUGCCGAUGAGGAUGAAAGUUCACCAGCCACAGUUUUAGACCGUUUCUAAGACAACAAAGAAACUCUCAGGAGGAGGAUGUUCAGGAGAGGGGAAUUUACAGACAGCACAGAAGACAUUUCCAGAUGUACCAAUAAAAUUUAUCAGGGCAGCACUCGGAAAAAUUAAAUUAUGAGCACAAGUUACAAGUA
Molecule: long non-coding RNA, 430 nt
Organism: Danio aesculapii
Lineage: Eukaryota; Metazoa; Chordata; Actinopteri; Cypriniformes; Danionidae
Exons: 4
Source: RefSeq, a predicted model, not a curated record